This 253-nucleotide ribosomal RNA is filed under the name uncultured bacterium. RNAcentral describes it as "partial 16S ribosomal RNA". It matches the Rfam family "Bacterial small subunit ribosomal RNA", at positions 524 to 776 of the family's 1533-position model. The record is from RNAcentral.
UACGUAGGGUGCGAGCGUUGUCCGGAAUUAUUGGGCGUAAAGAGCUCGUAGGCGGUUUGUCGCGUCUGCUGUGAAAACCCGAGGCUCAACCUCGGGCCUGCAGUGGGUACGGGCAGACUAGAGUGCGGUAGGGGAGAAUGGAACUCCUGGUGUAGCGGUGAAAUGCGCAGAUAUCAGGAGGAACACCGGCGGCGAAGGCGGGUCUCUGGGCCAUAACUGACGCUGAGGAGCGGAAGCGUGGGGAGCGAACAGG